ACUCCGGGGAUAACAGGCUGAUACCGCCCAAGAGUUCAUAUCGACGGCGGUGUUUGGCACCUCGAUGUCGGCUCAUCACAUCCUGGGGCUGAAGUAGGUCCCAAGGGUAUGGCUGUUCGCCAUUUAAAGUGGUACGCGAGCUGGGUUUAGAACGUCGUGAGACAGUUCGGUCCCUAUCUGCCGUGGGCGCUGGAGAAUUGAGGGGGGCUGCUCCUAGUACGAGAGGACCGGAGUGGACGCAUCACUGGUGUUCGGGUUGUCAUGCCAAUGGCACUGCCCGGUAGCUAAAUGCGGAAGAGAUAAGUGCUGAAAGCAUCUAAGCACGAAACUUGCCCCGAGAUGAGUUCUCCCUGAGACUUUAAGUCUCCUGAAGGAACGUUAAAGACGAUGACGUUGAUAGGCCGGGUGUGUAAGCGCAGCGAUGCGUUGAGCUAACCGGUACUAAUGAACCGUGAGGCUUAACCUU
RNAcentral lists this ribosomal RNA (466 nucleotides) under Klebsiella pneumoniae subsp. pneumoniae. RNAcentral describes it as "partial 23S ribosomal RNA". It matches the Rfam family "Bacterial large subunit ribosomal RNA", at positions 2465 to 2925 of the family's 2925-position model. Lineage: Bacteria; Pseudomonadati; Pseudomonadota; Gammaproteobacteria; Enterobacterales; Enterobacteriaceae. The record is from RNAcentral.